RNA transcript from Eubalaena glacialis (North Atlantic right whale), 2021 nucleotides. It is a transcript of the gene named pseudouridine synthase 1, with no coding region annotated. Lineage: Eukaryota; Metazoa; Chordata; Mammalia; Artiodactyla; Balaenidae. The transcript has 7 exons. The record is from RefSeq and is a predicted model, not a curated record.
UAGGUUAUCCGCGGGCGGGGCUGGAGCGUGAGAAGGUCCCGGGAAGGUUAGAGUUCACAAGGGGUGGGGCUGGAGCGUGGCCGUGGUCGGAGUUAAGGAGGGGCGGGCUGGUGUGUAGGGGCCCCGGGGAGCUUAGGGGUCUGGAGGGCCCGGGUGGGUGCGUACCGGGGGAGGUCAGGGGUCGGGCGCGUCCCCCCCCCCGCCCCUCCUGGGCCUGCAUGGGGCUCCCCAGCCUGCGGGCGGCGGCCUGGGCCCUGAGGAGAGCCUGCGGACCGUGGACCCCGCGCCUGGGACCGCGCCUCCUCUGUUUGCCCCCCAUGGCAGGGAAUGGGGAGGCCCCCGUGCCCGUGGGGACCCAGCAGGAGCAGGACAGGAAGGCCCGGCGUGGCUGGCAGGGCACGGCCGGGAUCUGGGAGGAAACAGAGCGGCAGGCGAAGAAGCUCAAGAGCAGCGAGGACGGGGAGCACCGGAAGCUGCCCAAGCGGAAGGUGGUGCUGCUCGUGGCCUAUUCCGGGAAGGGCUACCACGGCAUGCAGAGGAAUGUUGGGUCCUCGAAAUUCAAGACCAUCGAAGAUGACCUGGUGUCCGCCCUGGUCCGGUCGGGUUGUAUUCCUGAGAAUCACGGGGAGGACAUGCGGAAGAUGUCCUUCCAGCGCUGCGCCCGGACGGACAAGGGUGUGUCUGCGGCCGGCCAGGUUGUGUCCCUGAAGGUGUGGCUGAUUGACGACCUUUUAGAAAAGAUUAACAGCCACCUUCCGUCUCACAUUCGGAUACUGGGACUGAAGAGGGUCACGGGCGGCUUCAACUCCAAGAACAAGUGCGACGCCAGGACCUACUUCUACAUGCUGCCCACGUUCGCCUUCGCCCACAAGGACCACGACGCGCAGGACGAGACGUACCGGCUGCAGGCGGAGACGCUGGGGCGUGUGAACCGGCUCCUGGCCUGCUACAGGGGCACCCACAACUUCCACAACUUCACCUCGCAGAAGGGGCCCCGCGAGCCCAGCGCCCGGCGCUACAUCCUCGACAUGUUCUGCGAGGAGCCCUUCGUGCGCGAAGGCAUGGAGUUUGCGGUGAUCAAGGUCAAGGGCCAGAGCUUCAUGACGCACCAGAUCAGGAAGAUGGUGGGGCUGGUGGUGGCCAUCGUCAAGGGCUACGCGCCCGAGAGCGUGCUGGAGCGCUGUUGGGGGGAGGCCAAGGUGGACGUGCCCAAGGCGCCGGGGCUCGGCCUGGUCCUGGAGCGGGUGCACUUCGAGAAGUACAACCAGCGCUUCGGCCACGACGGGCUGCACGAGCCGCUGGACUGGGCGCGGGAGGAGGCUGAGGCCGCGGCCUUCAAGGAGCAGCACAUCUACCCCACGAUCGUCAGCACCGAGCGCCACGAGAGGUCCAUGGCCCAGUGGCUGAGCACCCUGCCCGUGCACGACUUCAGCGCCACUGCCCACACGGCCGCCGGCCCGGGCACCAAGGUCCCCCGCGCCCUGGAAGGCAGUGACGGGGACGGGGGCAGUGACUGAGUUGGCCCACGACAUGCACGCCGGGACCUGCCAGCUGCUGCUGGCCGCGUGCCUCGCCCAGACGGGACAGCCCGCGCCCGGCCUCCUCACCUCAGGGUCCUGAGACCUGCAUCUUUCUGAGUUUCCGUCACGGGGAGAACCUGCUGCGAAUCUGUUUUCAGCUCACGCAUUGACUACACACAACUUAGCACAUUAAAAGAAGUCAGAAUGAAGAGUUAAGCAGUUAAAGAAUGACCAGCUCUCUGCCCCCAACAGCCCCCUUAGCAAUCCUGCAGGCAGAUCACUGAGGCAAGAGAACAUCUGAAGAGUCAGCCAGUCUGCACGCAAUGGAGAAGGACGCAGAACCCACCCUGCUGCCUCGAUGACUGCCUGAGAUUCUCCCCCCCUUUUCCCUUUAGAAACUGUCAUGGCUGAGCAGAAUCCUCGGAGUUGAUGUCUGGACGGGAGUCCACCUCCUCCCAGACUGCCGGCUUUUCUGAUUAAAGCACCUUUCCUUUCUCCUGA